AUCAGAAGCAUUUUCUGACAAUUUUAUCUAAUAUUUAAAACAGGGAGCUAUGGUGCACUCUAGUUUAUACGUGUGCUAUGAGAUGUGUUGUGUAAACCUGGGGUGCCCACCUAUUGGUGAACUCAUCAUUUCACCUGACACAUGCUUGUUUCCAGUUCAGAACCAGUGUGGGCUCUUGCAGCAAGCAUGGGUCACAGCUGAUUCCAACUUCCAGUACAGUAGCCAUCACCUGCACGGCGUUUUUCCUUGAUUUGUUUAACCAGUGUAGUUGCAUUAGUAGUUCUAUAAAAAGAACUGCUUUUAACAUUAGGGACUGGGAUCAGUCCAUGGGAUAAAAAGGAAAGUGUUUUCUCACGGGAAAACAUGUCAGGAAAAAUAAAGAACACUUUCUACCUCUGUUUCAGAUUUUUGAAACGCUUAUUUUAAACCAAAUUUUAAUUUCUGUGUCCAAAAUAAGUUUUAAGGACAUCUGUUCUUCCAUACGAAAUAGGUUAGGCUGCCUGUUUCUUACUGAACUCAUGGAAUGGUUCUGCUUGUGAUCCUCUGCAUGCUGCCUUUUAAUGAGUGAGGAGUUUGGGGUUGCCUAGCAACCCACUAACUUGUACAAACUCAUCUUUCCCUCACAGAACGAAAUGAAGGAAAACCAAGCAAAGUCAGUGAAAGACAAUCUUUAUAGUUUCAGGAGUAAAUCUGUAUAUGGCUUUUGUCCAGCACUUGGAUGGAUGUAAAUGCAGCAACUUGUUUAAAAAAAAAUGCACAAUUUACUUCCCAAAAAAAGUUGUACUUGCCUUUUCAAGUCGUUGAAGAACUCACAUUUGAUAUUCUCUUAUAUGUUAUAAUAAUAUAACGUAUAAACUCAAGGCUUUUUAUUCUUUGUGAUAACUCCUGUUUUAACACAUAACAAAACAGGAACCAGCAUUCUAAUUAGAUUUACUCUAUCAAGAUAUGGUUCAAAUAGGACUACUAGAGUUCAUUGAACACUAAAACUAUGAAACAGUUACUUUUUAUAUUAAAAAGACCAUGGAUUUAACUUUAAAAAAUCCAAAUGCAGGAUAGUAAUUUUUGUUUACUUUUUUAACCA
RNAcentral lists this long non-coding RNA (1081 nucleotides) under Bos taurus (domestic cattle). RNAcentral describes it as "long non-coding RNA NONBTAT024375". The record is from RNAcentral. Lineage: Eukaryota; Metazoa; Chordata; Mammalia; Artiodactyla; Bovidae.